UAUUAUGUACAUCCCUACAAUGUUAAUGCAUUGGAUACCAACAAAACUCCAUAGUUAAGCAUGCUUGGGCUAGAGUAGUAUUGGGAUGAGUGACCUCCCGAGAAGUCCCUAUAGAAUUUUAUAAACU
Picea glauca (white spruce) is the source of this 127-nucleotide non-coding RNA. The record is from Rfam. Lineage: Eukaryota; Viridiplantae; Streptophyta; Pinopsida; Pinales; Pinaceae.